GAAUGGCAUCGCUCCUGGGAAGUUGGCGAUAUCCGUGCACAGUGCCGGAUGCUGCAGGCUGCCUGCACUCCAUCCUCUGGGGUGCAGGCUCCAGCGAUGCAGCGCCCACUGAGGUCGCUCCUUUUUUAGGGAGCUGCGCCGGUGAAUUAGGUAGAAACAAAAGUAUCGCCGUGGUUGGUGUUGUUGCUCUCCCCUUGGUGGUGGCGAUUCUCGAUGUCGGAGGGUACUUGUGGCCUCUCCUCUGCUGUGAUGUAUCCCCAGUUGUUUUCGAGCCCACGUUUUUAUUUCCCAACUUGGAUGGUGUCUGUGGGUAAAAAGGUCGGAGACGACGCCGGAGUGGGAAUGGUGGGUUGCCAUCGGGGCCAUCGAGAGGGUAUGGAAUUCGGCAAGACAGCAGCAUAUGAUCAGGUUCCAAAUGAGUAGGAAAUAUGAGGGGUGAAGAGAGGCGGCCAAGUUUUCACCAACUGCGUCAUUGACAGAAUAGUUGGCUCCAGAUUUCUCCUGGAGCUCUGUGCCAGAAACCAGAAAGUUGAUCCCACAAUUGUGAGGCACAUCGAAAUACCUACUUCUGAAUAACAAACACGUUGUAGUAAUGGGUACUCAUUGUAGCUUAAUUUCAAUGAGACCAAGUACUACUGACCCUUUCUAAUC
Molecule: non-coding RNA, 651 nt
Organism: Physcomitrium patens
Lineage: Eukaryota; Viridiplantae; Streptophyta; Bryopsida; Funariales; Funariaceae
Source: RefSeq, a predicted model, not a curated record